AGGAUGAACGCUGGCGGCGUGCCUAACACAUGCAAGUCGAACGGGGAGUAUAUUGGUAAUGAGGAUUCGUCUGAAGGAAAAUAGUAUCUUAGUGGCGGACGGGUGGAGUAACGCGUGGGCAACCUACCGUAUACAGGGGGAGUAACACUUAGAAAUAGGUGCUAAUACCGCAUAAGCGCACAGCAGUGCAUACUGGAGUGUGAAAAGCCGAGACGGUAUACGAUGGGCCCGCGUCUGAUUAGCCAGUUGGCAGGGUAACGGCCUACCAAAGCGACGAUCAGUAGCCGGCCUGAGAGGGCGGACGGCCACAUUGGGACUGAGACACGGCCCAGACUCCUACGGGAGGCAGCAGUGGGGGAUAUUGCACAAUGGGGGGAACCCUGAUGCAGCGACGCCGCGUGAGUGAAGAAGUAAUUCGUUAUGUAAAGCUCUAUCAGCAGGGAAGAAUAAAUGACGGCACCUGAGUAAGAAGCCCCGGCUAACUACGUG
This 489-nucleotide ribosomal RNA is filed under the name uncultured Lachnospiraceae bacterium. RNAcentral's name for it is "bacterial SSU rRNA". It matches the Rfam family "Bacterial small subunit ribosomal RNA", at positions 26 to 507 of the family's 1533-position model. Lineage: Bacteria; Bacillati; Bacillota; Clostridia; Lachnospirales; Lachnospiraceae. The record is from RNAcentral.